This 490-nucleotide ribosomal RNA is filed under the name uncultured bacterium. RNAcentral's name for it is "partial 16S ribosomal RNA". It matches the Rfam family "Bacterial small subunit ribosomal RNA", at positions 30 to 507 of the family's 1533-position model. The record is from RNAcentral.
AUUGAACGCUGGCGGCAGGCCUAACACAUGCAAGUCGAACGGUAACAGGGAUCAGCUUGCUGAUUCGCUGACGAGUGGCGGACGGGUGAGUAAUGUCUGGGAAACUGCCUGAUGGAGGGGGAUAACUACUGGAGACGGUAGCUAAUACCGCAUAACGUCGCAAGACCAAAGAGGGGGACCUUCGGGCCUCUUGCCAUCGGAUGUGCCCAGAUGGGAUUAGCUAGUAGGUGGGGUAACGGCUCACCUAGGCGACGAUCCCUAGCUGGUCUGAGAGGAUGACCAGCCACACUGGAACUGAGACACGGUCCAGACUCCUACGGGAGGCAGCAGUGGGGAAUAUUGCACAAUGGGCGCAAGCCUGAUGCAGCCAUGCCGCGUGUAUGAAGAAGGCCUUCGGGUUGUAAAGUACUUUCAGCGGGGAGGAAGGGAGUAAAGUUAAUACCUUUGCUCAUUGACGUUACCCGCAGAAGAAGCACCGGCUAACUCCGUG